AAAAAAAAAAAGAAGAAAAAGAAAAAAACCUCCACCCUUCAGAAAAAGGGAGACAGAGAGAGAUGUAUACAAAUGUUUUAUUAUUCUUGUAGGACUAUGUCAAUGACAAUAUUGGAUGUUGAGUGAAAGAUUGGUAGUAGCCAUGGUAUUUGGUUUCUUGGAGAGUUGUUCUGAUUUUUCUUUCAACAUUUGGCAUAAGCUAAAAUGGGUUACAGAAGAGAAAUUGUUAUUUUGUUAAUUUUCACCCUUUAA
This 252-nucleotide unclassified non-coding RNA is filed under the name Hevea brasiliensis (rubber tree). The record is from RNAcentral. Lineage: Eukaryota; Viridiplantae; Streptophyta; Magnoliopsida; Malpighiales; Euphorbiaceae.